GACGAACGCUGGCGGCGUGCUUAACACAUGCAAGUCGAACGGAAAGGCCCUGCUUUUGUGGGGUGCUCGAGUGGCGAACGGGUGAGUAACACGUGAGUAACCUGCCCUUGACUUUGGGAUAACUUCAGGAAACUGGGGCUAAUACCGGAUAGGAGCUCCUGCUGCAUGGUGGGGGUUGGAAAGUUUCGGCGGUUGGGGAUGGACUCGCGGCUUAUCAGCUUGUUGGUGGGGUAGUGGCUUACCAAGGCUUUGACGGGUAGCCGGCCUGAGAGGGUGACCGGCCACAUUGGGACUGAGAUACGGCCCAGACUCCUACGGGAGGCAGCAGUGGGGAAUAUUGCACAAUGGGCGGAAGCCUGAUGCAGCAACGCCGCGUGCGGGAUGACGGCCUUCGGGUUGUAAACCGCUUUCGCCUGUGACGAAGCGUGAGUGACGGUAAUGGGUAAAGAAGCACCGGCUAACUACGUGCCAGCAGCCGCGGUGAUACGUAGGGUGCGAGCGUUGUCCGGAUUUAUUGGGCGUAAGGGCUCGUAGGUGGUUGAUCGCGUCGGAAGUGUAAUCUUGGGGCUUAACCCUGAGCGUGCUUUCGAUACGGGUUGACUUGAGGAAGGUAGGGGAGAAUGGAAUUCCUGGUGGAGCGGUGGAAUGCGCAGAUAUCAGGAGGAACACCAGUGGCGAAGGCGGUUCUCUGGGCCUUUCCUGACGCUGAGGAGCGAAAGCGUGGGGAGCGAACAGGCUUAGAUACCCUGGUAGUCCACGCUGUAAACGGUGGGUACUAGGUGUGGGGUCCAUUCCACGGGUUCCGCGCCGUAGCUAACGCUUUAAGUACCCCGCCUGGGGAGUACGGCCGCAAGGCUAAAACUCAAAGGAAUUGACGGGGCCCCGCACAAGCGGCGGAGCAUGCGGAUUAAUUCGAUGCAACGCGUAGAACCUUACCUGGGUUUGACAUGGAUCGGGAGUGCUCAGAGAUGGGUGUGCCUCUUUUGGGGUCGGUUCACAGGUGGUGCAUGGCUGUCGUCAGCUCGUGUCGUGAGAUGUUGGGUUAAGUCCCGCAACGAGCGCAACCCUUGUUCACUGUUGCCAGCACGUUAUGGUGGGGACUCAGUGGAGACCGCCGGGGUCAACUCGGAGGAAGGUGGGGAUGACGUCAAGUCAUCAUGCCCCUUAUGUCCAGGGCUUCACGCAUGCUACAAUGGCUGGUACAGAGAGUGGCGAGCCUGUGAGGGUGAGCGAAUCUCGGAAAGCCGGUCUCAGUUCGGAUUGGGGUCUGCGACUCGACCUCAUGAAGUCGGAGUCGCCAGUAAUCGCAGAUCAGCAACGCUGCGGUGAAUACGUUCCCGGG
RNAcentral lists this ribosomal RNA (1342 nucleotides) under uncultured bacterium. RNAcentral's name for it is "16S ribosomal RNA". It matches the Rfam family "Bacterial small subunit ribosomal RNA", at positions 28 to 1378 of the family's 1533-position model. The record is from RNAcentral.